Molecule: long non-coding RNA, 1407 nt
Organism: Hyla sarda
Lineage: Eukaryota; Metazoa; Chordata; Amphibia; Anura; Hylidae
Exons: 3
Source: RefSeq, a predicted model, not a curated record
ACUCACAGUCAUUAAUAAUCGAGUGGAAACGGAUUUAUAUAGGAAGGAGACUGCCACCAAUAACUUACUACACUUCUCCUCAUUUCACCCAUUUCAUACAAGACGCGGAAUACCAACUGGUCAAAUCUCAAGAGUGCGCAGAAAUUGUAGCAGUGAUCAACAAUUCAAAGUACAGGCACGUGACUUGACCCAGAGAUUUAAUGAUCGGUGUUACCCUAAGAAGAUCAUCUUGGCAGCUUUUCAGCGGGCCAAACAGGCUGACGAGAAAAAACUACUAUUACCAACGAAGAGAUCACAAGAUGAUAUAGUACAUUUUAUAUCUACUUACCACAAUCAGUGGAACUGAGUGAGCAGUCUAUUGGAGCAGCAUUGGAGUAUUUUGCAAUACGAUAAUCACAUCAAGGACAUGAUACCACAAAAAAACGGUUUUGGUCUCAAAGAAUGCACCUAACUUGAAGGAGGUCUUGACUCAGAGUCAUUUUUAACGACUCCCAGCUAAACAGACGGUUGGGAUUAGAUUACAAGGAUCCUUCCCUUGUGGGGAUUGUAGUGUCUGCCAAUUCAUGAAGCCCACGCAUAUGUUUAAAAAUCCAAGAGAUGGGAAAGACUAUUGUAUUGGUUCCUAUAUGAGUUGCAAAACCAUGAACGUAAUUUAUGACCUGAUUUGCCUCUGCCAAUCUGUAUAUGUUGGACAAAUGGGACAACAACUCCGGAAGAGAAUUCAGAAACAUUUGUCCAACACAGCAUUGGCAACACGUGAUGCUAAACAUCAGAAGAAACUUAAUCCUGUAGCUCUUCAUUUUUUGAACUACCAUGCUGGGCUUGCUGCAGGCCUGACUGUUGUGGACCUGGAAUGAGUACAGGGUGAUAACAGAGGUGGGUCUCUGACCAAAAGACUCUUACAUAUGGAGUCCAAAUGGAUUUACAACCUGGACACCACCAGACCAUCUGGUCUCAAUGAGGAACUUUUGUUCACCGGAUUUUUCGUUUACAGGAUAGCUCCUUUGUACCAUUUAUCGGAAUGGGAAUUGUCUGCUAUUAUGAUUUCCUUGAACUGUCUAUUAUACUAUCUCCAAUUGGAGGUCGACCCACUGGCUCUCCUUGGAUGACUGAUAGAUAAGCAGAAUGGGUUCUUUUGGAUCCACUUCAGAUGCCAUUCAACAUAUUGAGGAUUGGACUUUGAUCAUCUCUUUGUGACCCUUUGAUUCUUCGUUAUUGCCACCAUGUAUUCUUUUGCCCAGAAGCCCAUGUGACACUCAUUGACUAAUUAGUUCAUAUGAUAUCUGGACUUUGGUGAUAUCUUUUGCCCAAAUAUUGACUCUCUUGAAACUAUGUUACCCCUUAUGGAGUGGGACUCACUAUCAUUAUUAAUGUAUUUUUUUAUACCUGUCUAUGAUUUAAUACUUA